RNAcentral lists this ribosomal RNA (468 nucleotides) under uncultured bacterium. RNAcentral's name for it is "partial 16S ribosomal RNA". It matches the Rfam family "Bacterial small subunit ribosomal RNA", at positions 28 to 507 of the family's 1533-position model. The record is from RNAcentral.
GACGAACGCUGGCGGCGUGCUUAACACAUGCAAGUCGAACGGAAAGGCCCUGCUUUUGUGGGGUGCUCGAGUGGCGAACGGGUGAGUAACACGUGAGUAACCUGCCCUUGACUUUGGGAUAACUUCAGGAAACUGGGGCUAAUACCGGAUAGGAGCUCCUGCUGCAUGGUGGGGGUUGGAAAGUUUCGGCGGUUGGGGAUGGACUCGCGGCUUAUCAGCUUGUUGGUGGGGUAGUGGCUUACCAAGGCUUUGACGGGUAGCCGGCCUGAGAGGGUGACCGGCCACAAUGGGACUGAGAUUCGGACCAGACUACUACGGGAGGCAGCAGUGGGGAAUAUUGCACAAUGGGCGGAAGCCUGAUGCAGCAACGCCGCGUGCGGGAUGACGGCCUUCGGGUUGUAAACCGCUUUCGCCUGUGACGAAGCGUGAGUGACGGUAAUGGGUAAAGAAGCACCGGCUAACUACGUG